This 548-nucleotide ribosomal RNA is filed under the name uncultured Glomeromycotina. Its description in RNAcentral is "SSU rRNA". It matches the Rfam family "Eukaryotic small subunit ribosomal RNA", at positions 548 to 1097 of the family's 1831-position model. The record is from RNAcentral. Lineage: Eukaryota; Fungi; Glomeromycota.
UUGGAGGGCAAGUCUGGUGCCAGCAGCCGCGGUAAUUCCAGCUCCAAUAGCGUAUAUUAAAGUUGUUGCAGUUAAAAAGCUCGUAGUUGAAUUUCGGGGUUAGUAGGUUGGUCGUGCCUCAGGUAUGUACUGAUCUCACUGAUUCCUCCUUCCUGAUGAACCGUAAUGCCAUUAAUUUGGUGUUGCGGGGAAACUGGACUGUUACUUUGAAAAAAUUAGAGUGUUUAAAGCAGGCUAACGCUUGAAUACAUUAGCAUGGAAUAAUGAAAUAGGACGUUCGAUCCUAUUUUGUUGGUUUCUAGGAUUGACGUAAUGAUUAAUAGGGAUAGUUGGGGGCAUUAGUAUUCAAUUGUCAGAGGUGAAAUUCUUGGAUUUAUUGAAGACUAACUACUGCGAAAGCAUUUGCCAAGGAUGUUUUCACUAAUCAAGAACGAAAGUUAGGGGAUCGAAGACGAUCAGAUACCGUCGUAGUCUUAACCAUAAACUAUGCCGACUAGGGAUCGGAUGAUGUUAAUUUUUUAAUGACUCAUUCGGCGCCUUACGGGAAA